This 357-nucleotide ribosomal RNA is filed under the name uncultured bacterium. Its description in RNAcentral is "bacterial SSU rRNA". It matches the Rfam family "Bacterial small subunit ribosomal RNA", at positions 917 to 1269 of the family's 1533-position model. The record is from RNAcentral.
GGGCUCACACAAGCGGUGGAGGAUGUGGCUUAAUUCGAGGCUACGCGAAGAACCUUAUCCUAGAUUUGACAUGCUUGAGAGUCUCUAUGAAAGUAGAGAGUGCCCUUCGGGGAGCUCUUGCACAGGUGCUGCAUGGCUGUCGUCAGCUCGUGUCGUGAGAUGUCGGGUUAAGUCCCUUAACGAGCGAAACCCUUAUCUCUAGUUGCCAGCGGGUAAUGCCGGGGACUCUAGAGAGACUGCCGGUGUCAAACCGGAGGAAGGUGGGGAUGACGUCAAGUCCUCAUGGCCUUUAUGUCUAGGGCUGCACACGUCCUACAAUGGUACGGACAAACGGACGCAAUACCGCGAGGUGGAGCA